AAAACGACUCUCGGCAACGGAUAUCUCGGCUCUCGCAUCGAUGAAGAACGUAGCGAAAUGCGAUACUUGGUGUGAAUUGCAGAAUCCCGCGAACCAUCGAGUCUUUGAACGCAAGUUGCGCCCCAAGCCGUUAGGCCGAGGGCACGCCUGCCUGGGUGUCACGC
This 164-nucleotide ribosomal RNA is filed under the name Acer campestre (hedge maple). RNAcentral describes it as "5.8S ribosomal RNA". It matches the Rfam family "5.8S ribosomal RNA". From Rfam's summary of the family: 5.8S ribosomal RNA (5.8S rRNA) is a component of the large subunit of the eukaryotic ribosome. It is transcribed by RNA polymerase I as part of the 45S precursor that also contains 18S and 28S rRNA. Lineage: Eukaryota; Viridiplantae; Streptophyta; Magnoliopsida; Sapindales; Sapindaceae. The record is from RNAcentral.